GUUCCUGCUCCGGCUCCUGCGGGGAUGGAUGCUUCACGCAGUAAGCGAGUAAGCGAGCCCUGGAGACCGGGGCCCUGGGUGUGCGGUCGGCUCAGUGCCACGCGGUGAGAUAGGCAUGGUUAUCAACCCACGCCAAGGCGGUUGUGUACCUGGCAUAGAAAACACUGCUGUUGAAUGUUGUUUCCAUAGUCAUUCGCCAGCGUCCACUGAUGAGAGGUGCCACCACGGACACCCGGCCUUGCUCCGUCGAAGCUUUGGUCCAUUAGGACCAAAGUCAGGCCCCAGCGGGCCUCCCUGCCAUUCCUGGACGGCCUCGCGUCCUCCCAGAGCCUGACCUUCUCUUAUCUCUGCAGCCUAAGUCGCGGAAGCGUAGACACCCGGCUUUUCCCGCGUGCUCUAUCGGGCUCCCCUGGACACGGAGGGUGGAGCAGAAAGAGCAGAGGGGCCGGUGGGAGCCAUGGGGAGUCCGCCUAGCUCCAGAGGACACCUUACCUGGAUCCGCCUUUGUAGCCUCCUCCUGGCUCUGGGGGCUGUCCUGUGGGGUCCGAGUAGCUGAAAGACAGCCCCUCCAUGUGAGGAAGCCCCCAACUGGGGAAAACCCCCUCGUGGACUCAUUCCUGUCCCUGCAUGUGGCCUUCACCUGACUGUCUGCAUUGAGGCAUCCUCUGCCAAGAGCAAUUUCAAAGUGGCAGGUCUUGGGAGAUGGGGUGCUGUAUUUGGGAGUAGGGGCGGGGAAGGGUUGAGGUGCCCUGGGAAAACUGGAGGAAGACAUUUUUAAUGCUCUUAUGAGGCUGGGAGCAGAGGCCAAGAGGGGCAGAGCAGAGCAGGGGUGAGGAGAAUGAGGCACUGGCCUGGGCACAGAAUUGAAGGGGCACCAAAAAUCGCAAUCAUCAAGGGAAAUCGUAUUUUAAUGCCAUAUUUUAAAACUCAAAAUUAACAAAAGGAAUCCAUGAUGAACGAACUAUCAACAUUUCAAGUAAAGACAGGAUCUGUUUCAUGGAUAUCUCCUUUUGCCUCAGGGUCCAAUAUGGAACGGCAUAGUUGAUUCUGUCUUUAUUUAAAAUUUUUGGCGGCGCGCGGUGGCUCAAGCCUGUAAUCCCAGCACUUUGGGAGGCCGAGGCGGGUGGAUCACGAGGUCAGGAGAUCGAGACCAUCCUGGCUAACACGGUGAAACGCCGUCUGUACUAAAAGUACAAAAAAAUUAGCCGGACGUGGUGGCGGGAGCCUGUAGUCCCAGCUACUCCGGAGGCUGAGGCAGGAGAAUGGUGUGAACCCGGGAGGUGGAGCUUGCAGUGAGCCGAGAUGGCGCCACUGCACUCCAGCCUGGGUGACAGAGCGAGACUCCAUCUCAAAAAAAAAUGAUAAUAAAUAAAAUAAAAUUUUGAUUUUUUGUUCAUCGUGGAUUUUUUUCCCCAUUACUUUUUGCAUUAACAUUAUUUAUCUUGAAUUCUGGCUGCUCUUAAAUUCUGCACCCAAGGCAAGUGGGCUUCACUCUAGUCCCAUUCCGGGAGGACGGUGGAUUCGUGAGCAUUCGGGAGACCACCACAGGACCCUUAAGCUGCUUCAUUGCGCAGUGGGAUCCCCUGUAACCCCAGACUUCAGUAAUAAUCCCACACAGAAAGGUCUUACGUGAGUGUUUUCUUGUGAAAAUUAAAGGAAAGUGCUGCUUUCAACAUCUGCCACAUUUGCAAGAAGAGCAAAGGUGGCCCAUUUGAGACCACCCUUGAACUAAACCAUCCAGUGAGCCCCUGAGGUCGGGACAGAAGUGGCCAUGACCUUCCUCAAGCAGGGACUGUGGUGGAGCCCACCUUAUCCAGCACAAGGUGGCCUGCUGACUUCUGGUGACAGUGAUGCCAACUUCCUGGCUGUCCAAGGUUCAAAUCUUGGUCUUAAUCCUCCUGGCCUUCUCUCAUCAAUGGCCAGAGCCACCCUAGCUAACAAGGUGCCCAGGGACUCCGGGGUGGGAGAAGUCCAGCUUCUUCUUAGCUGAGGACAUUUGAGUCUCGUCACAGCCCCCAAAAGAAUACUCAUUUUUGUAGCUGGAGGGCCUGGCCUCUGUCUAUCUUUGCUUUUCCAGAAGCUGACAAGUACCUGCCGGAAAAACUGCCUCUUUUCCCUCCCGUGCUUGGAGCAGGCAUUGCUGACAGAUCACAGCUGCUGGGCCCAAAGGUCCCUUUGCACGCGGGACUUCAGGAAGUUGCUGCUGACCUAUGGGAGUUGGUGCAGAAAGAUGAAAUUUGUUAUCCUUGGCUGUAUCAACUCUCUCUCCUCUCCUUGGUGGUGAUAGUUUUGUUCUUAAAAGCCUCUUGUGAGAGAAUUUGUGGAUGAAGAACCUGUAAGAUCACAAGUGAAACAAUUUAUUGAUGUCAAUAGAUUUAUACACGUUCAUUAAGAAUCAAAACUAAACUAAAACAUCAGUCUGACUAAAGAGACCACCACAGAUAUUUCAUAUGCUGUACAUCAGUAACAAAGGGUACCAAAUAGUUAAUAUCCAUGUACUAGUCACAUGAGAAAUGUUUUAGGGUCAUUGACCAGUGUAGUCAGUACAGUGGUCCCAUGGUAUUUGUGGGGGAUUGGUUCCAGGAAUCUCUUGGACACCAACUCCGUGGAUGAUCAGACAAUAUAAAAUGUGGGUCAGGUGCGGUGGCUCAUACCUGUAAUCCCAGCAUUUUGCGAGAAUCACUUGAGGCCAGUUCAAGAUCAGCCUGUGCAACAUAGCAAGACUCCACCUCUAAAAAAAAAAAAAAAAAAAAAAAUUAGCCCAGUGCAGCGGUGUGCACCUGUAGUCCCAGCUUCUCAUGAGGUUGAGGUGAAAAGAUCACUUGGGCCCAGGAGUUUGAGGCUGCAGUGAGCUGUGACUGCCACUGCACUCCAGCCUGAGUGACAAAGCAAGUCCCUGUCUCUUAAAAAAUAAAAUAAAAUAAUAGCAUUUGAAUGUAACCUACACACAUCUCCCAUAUACUUUAAAUCAUCUGUAGAUUGCUUAUAAUACCUAAUACACUGUAAAUGCUAUGUAAAUAGUUGUUAUUCUGUGUAGUUUUUAAAAACGUGUAUUUCUUAUUGUAUUUUUUUGUUUGUUUUUUGUUGUUUUUG
This 3093-nucleotide long non-coding RNA is filed under the name Homo sapiens (human). Its description in RNAcentral is "non-protein coding lnc-PAPOLA-1:9". The record is from RNAcentral. Lineage: Eukaryota; Metazoa; Chordata; Mammalia; Primates; Hominidae.